Molecule: ribosomal RNA, 300 nt
Filed under: uncultured Aequorivita sp.
Lineage: Bacteria; Pseudomonadati; Bacteroidota; Flavobacteriia; Flavobacteriales; Flavobacteriaceae
Description: partial 16S ribosomal RNA
Rfam family: Bacterial small subunit ribosomal RNA
Source: RNAcentral
GGUAAGUUGGGGCUGGCGUCGUGGGUAAGAAGGAGUGGGCAAGCGUUAAUCGGAAGUGGCGGGCGUAGAGCGUGCGUAGACGGUAGCGUAAGUCGUGUGUGAAAGCCCCGGGGUCAACCUGGGAAUUGCAGUCGAGACUGCUCUGCUAGGGUGCGGAAGAGGGAAGCGGAAUUUCCGGUGUAGCGGUGAAAUGCGUAGAUAUCGGAAGGAACACCAGUGGCGAAAGCGGCUUCCUGGUCCAGCACCGACGUUCAGGCACGAAAGCGUGGGGAGCAAACAGGAUUAGAUACCCCAGUAGUC